This 311-nucleotide long non-coding RNA is filed under the name Bos taurus (domestic cattle). RNAcentral describes it as "long non-coding RNA NONBTAT019230". Lineage: Eukaryota; Metazoa; Chordata; Mammalia; Artiodactyla; Bovidae. The record is from RNAcentral.
CUGUCUGAAAUCUCUCCCUUGUCAUUUCAUUUAUAUACCAAGCCAUCAUACAACUGCACAGCCUACACAAUCAUAUGUGAUAAUCCUAUUUAUAUAAAGCCAAUAAACUCUCUUUUUUUCUUUGACAAUAUGUAAAGUUCUAUGUGUUUAAGAAAUGAGGCCCAUUACAAUGUUCUGCUAAGCAGCGUCUACCUAAGAGUCAUCUUACUCUAGGUAUGCAAUGAGGUCCAUAAAGACAUGGCAAGAAUCCAUGAAAUUAGAGUUUUGUCUUUACAAUGAGUUAGGUCAAAUUUUGGAGCAAAGCUUCUCUU